UCCGGUUUGGCACCGGCAGUCCCCCCAGAGUCCCCGGCACGACCCGCUGGUAACUGGGGGCGGGGGUUGCGCUCGUUGCGGGACUUAACCCAACAUCUCACGACACGAGCUGACGACAGCCAUGCAGCACCUGUGCUAAGGCUCCGAAGAGGGGCCGGCGUUUCUGCCGGCUUUCCUUAGCAUGUCAAGCCCAGGUAAGGUUCUUCGCGUUGCGUCGAAUUAAACCACAUGCUCCACCGCUUGUGCGGGCCCCCGUCAAUUCCUUUGAGUUUCAGCCUUGCGGCCGUACUCCCCAGGCGGGGCACUUAAUGCGUUAGCGCCGGCACCCGGGGGGUCGCUCCCCCAGGCACCUAGUGCCCAUCGUUUACGGCGUGGACUAC
Molecule: unclassified non-coding RNA, 380 nt
Filed under: uncultured Gemmatimonadaceae bacterium
Lineage: Bacteria; Pseudomonadati; Gemmatimonadota; Gemmatimonadia; Gemmatimonadales; Gemmatimonadaceae
Description: contains 16S-23S intergenic spacer region
Source: RNAcentral